Molecule: ribosomal RNA, 832 nt
Filed under: Vibrio sp.
Lineage: Bacteria; Pseudomonadati; Pseudomonadota; Gammaproteobacteria; Vibrionales; Vibrionaceae
Description: bacterial SSU rRNA
Rfam family: Bacterial small subunit ribosomal RNA
Source: RNAcentral
GUGGGAUUAGCUAGUUGGUGAGGUAAGGGCUCACCAAGGCGACGAUCCCUAGCUGGUCUGAGAGGAUGAUCAGCCACACUGGAACUGAGACACGGUCCAGACUCCUACGGGAGGCAGCAGUGGGGAAUAUUGCACAAUGGGCGCAAGCCUGAUGCAGCCAUGCCGCGUGUGUGAAGAAGGCCUUCGGGUUGUAAAGCACUUUCAGUCGUGAGGAAGGUGGUGUAGUUAAUAGCUGUAUCAUUUGACGUUAGCGACAGAAGAAGCACCGGCUAACUCCGUGCCAGCAGCCGCGGUAAUACGGAGGGUGCGAGCGUUAAUCGGAAUUACUGGGCGUAAAGCGCAUGCAGGUGGUUUGUUAAGUCAGAUGUGAAAGCCCGGGGCUCAACCUCGGAAUUGCAUUUGAAACUGGCAGACUAGAGUACUGUAGAGGGGGGUAGAAUUUCAGGUGUAGCGGUGAAAUGCGUAGAGAUCUGAAGGAAUACCGGUGGCGAAGGCGGCCCCCUGGACAGAUACUGACACUCAGAUGCGAAAGCGUGGGGAGCAAACAGGAUUAGAUACCCUGGUAGUCCACGCCGUAAACGAUGUCUACUUGGAGGUUGUGGCCUUGAGCCGUGGCUUUCGGAGCUAACGCGUUAAGUAGACCGCCUGGGGAGUACGGUCGCAAGAUUAAAACUCAAAUGAAUUGACGGGGGCCCGCACAAGCGGUGGAGCAUGUGGUUUAAUUCGAUGCAACGCGAAGAACCUUACCUACUCUUGACAUCCAGAGAACUUUCCAGAGAUGGAUUGGUGCCUUCGGGAACUCUGAGACAGGUGCUGCAUGGCUGUCGUCAGC